AUCCAUCUGACGAGUCCAAAAUAUGACGAAACCUACAUCCUGGAU
Molecule: non-coding RNA, 45 nt
Filed under: Schistosoma margrebowiei
Lineage: Eukaryota; Metazoa; Platyhelminthes; Trematoda; Strigeidida; Schistosomatidae
Source: RNAcentral